This 76-nucleotide transfer RNA is filed under the name bioreactor metagenome. Its description in RNAcentral is "tRNA-Thr". It matches the Rfam family "tRNA". Rfam says of the family: Transfer RNA (tRNA) molecules are approximately 80 nucleotides in length. Their secondary structure includes four short double-helical elements and three loops (D, anti-codon, and T loops). Further hydrogen bonds mediate the characteristic L-shaped molecular structure. tRNAs have two regions of fundamental functional importance: the anti-codon, which is responsible for specific mRNA codon recognition, and the 3' end, to which the tRNAs corresponding amino acid is attached (by aminoacyl-tRNA synthetases). tRNAs cope with the degeneracy of the genetic code in two manners: having more than one tRNA (with a specific anti-codon) for a particular amino acid; and 'wobble' base-pairing, i.e. permitting non-standard base-pairing at the 3rd anti-codon position. The record is from RNAcentral.
GCUGCUGUAGCUCAGUCGGCAGAGCGCAUCCUUGGUAAGGAUGAGGUCGCCCGUUCGAAUCGGGCCAGCAGCUCCA